This is a long non-coding RNA of Passer domesticus (house sparrow), 2748 nucleotides long. RefSeq lists it as uncharacterized. The transcript is spliced from 2 exons. Lineage: Eukaryota; Metazoa; Chordata; Aves; Passeriformes; Passeridae. The record is from RefSeq and is a predicted model, not a curated record.
AGUUAAUAAAAAAUAUGAUAAAAGAUGGCUGAAUGGAAAAUUAAAUAAUCUGGGGACAUAUAUUAGUUUUUAACUGUACAUGUAACCAGCAAAGAACUUAGUUGACUUGAGGAAGACCAGUUUGGUCAUGAAAAUGAAUAACAUAACAUAGCUCUUAUAACUUCAGCCUAUUUUGAAGACCAUGCAAAAACAUCUGAAGUGAGGUAUUGACUAAGUUUUCAUAAAAUAUUUUUGAAAUUUCUGUGUUUAUGGCAUUUAUAUACAAACACACUUAAGAGUAUGCAGCUGUCUUACAGACAUGUGAACGCUCAGAUUGAAAGAAAGAAAAAUAUUUCUAAAUAUUUGUAAAACAAAUUCUCAUCCAGUUUUUUUUUCUAGUCUUGCAGAAUGAUUGUCUUAUUUUCUUUUUCCCUUGUGUUUUUGCUGUCCUGUAUUUUUAACAACAAAAUGAGCUUCGAUAAUAGGAAUUUUAAAACUUUCAUUACCUAGGAAAAGUGAAAAACCUUCACCCUGUUGUUAAAUUGGUUGCUGUUCCAGCUAAGAGUAUAUUGUGGCUACAUGAUGGACAAAGUUCUUUUUUUAGAUCAAUCAGUGCAAAAAGGACACACUUUAUUUUGCUGUGCAUUUUGUUAUCACAUAUUUUAAUGUUGGUGUUAAUACUUAUGGGUUAAUUAGAUCCAGGAAAACAAUGAAGUCAAGGAUUCUACCAGGGUCUACCUGGUAGAAUCUACACAGGGUUCUACCUUUGAUAUGAAAAAAUAUGCACAGCAAUUUCUUUUGUUAUAUAGCUAUAUAAAAUUGGUGCAAUAUUAGAUGACUUUUCAAAAAAUUUUAACUAUGCGUAUUUAGUCUUGCACUACUUAAUUGCUGAACAUGCAAACAUUAUUUGCGUUCCGUAGCUUCUUCUCCUCUGCCUUAACUCAAGAGUCCUUUAGAUGUAGCCACGCACUUCAGAAAGUUAAAUCUUUCAACAAAAAGGCAAAGUACAAGACAAUCAGAGGAGAUAUUUGAAAUCAGGUCACAAUUCUGAUGAGGCACAGCACCUUGAUUUCAUUAUGGUUUUCCCUUCACAAUUAUAUAAAUCAUGUAAAAUAAUUAGGAUUUUUGAUUCCUCCUUUGUCAUAUACACUGCUCACGCAGUCCAAGUACAAAUUAAAACUUCAGAGAUUUACCUAAAAUUUAUUUUUUAGUUUCUUGUAGAUAUUCAACUCAGCUUAUUAAUCAGUGAAAAGCAUAGCAUUCACUCUCUGAAAAAAUGCAGAGUGAACUUUUUUGGUUCAAAGUCUCAUUUUGGUCUAGAUGAUUUAAUUUACUUGGGGAAUUGUGGCAACAUCAGGAUCAUCCUCCAAUCAAUAAAACCAAACCACCACAAAUCCCCAAGCAUUUUUAUCUGUAUAACACCUAACCAACAUCUCUGAUUGUUUCUCUGAAUGACACAUGGCGUGAGGUUCCUUGUGGAUAGUUAUGCUGUUAUGUUCUUGACUACUUUGUGUACUGAAUCAUAAAUUCAACUGUGCAAAAAAAUUUGCUUAGCAUGAACAGGUUUGUAAACUCACCCUCAAACUCCCUAAUGACUCUUGUUUCUCCUUCUGGUUAAGGAUGGAAUUCCUUUGUAGGGACUUGAAAAAAUGAUUGUGGCAGAUAUUUACUAUUUUAUCCUGGAAUAAUCAUGAACCACUUUAGACAUGUAAAUCCUGGACUUAAGCUCUUUUGGGUUUUCAGAACAUCUUGGUAACUGAAUUAACUAAAGCUUAGAAACACAGGAUUUUUAGCUUGUGAGUAUAAAAUAAUUUGAUUCAUAUUUAAUGUUUCAUAUAUGAGGUCUUUUAUUGCAAUAGUGGUAUUCUUUUUACAGCACCUCAUACUCCAUUCAGUUGCAAGCUGGAGGUGUCUGAGACUGACUUAUCAUCUUACAAGCAACAUGGACAGGAUUUUAGCUUGUCAUUGAGGAAUGUGAAAGGGGGAGGAGCCAAGCAUUUUCCUGGAUAUAAUCUGGGAUUUGGAGCACCAUAGCCAGCCUUUUCCUACUGGAUUCCCAGAGAAUGAACAGGACCAUCUGCACCACCUUCAGAGGAAAACUGAGGAAAACUACACCCUACUAGAGGAUCACUGCUUCAACAGAACCACACCUGUGCCUCCAGGAGAACAGCAGGCACCCUUUAAUCAGACUGCUACCAACACCCUGACCCACAGGUUGUCGAUUUGUAUUCUGACUCUCAGUGCUGAUUUGUAUUACUGCAUUUUUAUUUUUAUUUUUCCUGACAAACAACUGUUAAUCCUCCUACCAUAUCUUUGCCUGAGAGCCCCUUAAUUUCAAAAUUAUAAUAAUUCGAAGGGAGAAGGUUUACAUUUUCCAUUUCAAGAGAGGCUCCCACCUUACUUAGCAGACACCUGUCUUUUCAAACCAAGGCACUUUACAUACCAUCACUGACUUUAUUAUUGAGGAUAAGAAGUUGACAAGUGCUUCACACUAGGAAUCUAAAUAUAAUGAUCAUAUUUGGCCAAAGGAAAAUCCAGUUUCCUCUAGUAAAGGAAAAGGGGAAGCAGAAAAUUUCAGUCUGUAGGUAUUAUUUUAUGAUACAAGUUAUAACACAGGUAAACUAGAAAUUAACAGUUGCUGAUGCUUGGCCAAAUGUAAAAGUAUUGCAUUCAAAAAAAACCCAAAACAAACAAACAAACAAAACACCAAAAAACCAAACCAACCAAACAAAAUCAAACAAACAAACAAAAAAAAAAAACCAAGAAAAA